UAGAACAUUUACAUUCCGUCAGAACAUGUUAUUGUUACGACAUCAGGAAUCCUAUGGGAAGGAGAAGGGCCACAGUCUGGUACAAGUCAACAGGACAGCUGUGAGUUGGGGAGGAGUGAGGAAUUUGGGCCGAGGUCAGGUCAGAUGAAGUGAGGAAGAACAGAUAUCACUAAAGUUCUGUCUAGCAACAGAUAUGUAUUGGCUGUUCAGAUGUGUAAGGAGGAGACUCAGCAUAGGAGGAAGAGUUAAAUACCAGUGCUUGUGUGAAGAUGUUUUUGUCUGUUCAGCUGUCUGACCCAUUGGGUGAAUAAACUUGGUUUGAGCUUUAAUAAUUGUCUGUGAGUUUUUACUCGGUUCAUUUAGAACCUAACAGUUGGUGCUGUGAGCAACGUUCACCACGAUUUACAGUCGAACUACAGAGUUUGAAUCAGUGAAACAGGAGCCUGAACCAGAAAUACGCCAAGUCCACUCCUGUUUCCUGAUUAAGAGGUGAUAACUACUACCAUUCUCAACUAUCUCCUGACAUGAACUGAAGCCACGUCUCAUGUGCCCACUCAUCCACCGGCACAUUGAAUGUUUCCUCUCCAAGUACUUCAAAUCCUGUCCUGCAUUGGUCAAGCCUCUGAACACCUCAACUCAUGCCUCAUAGCCUCAUUCAAUCACUGCUGUGAUCCCUUUCCAACACGGUGAAACACAAAAGGAGGCUGAGGAGGAGGAGGAUGAUAAUAAUUCCUGGGGAAGCUAGACCAGCACAACAGGCUCCCUGGAGACCAAACAGAUGUUUACAUUUGAGCUGCAUCAAAGACACAUCACAAAACAUGCCAAUGAUGCCAGCGAGCCCCGGGAAGGAAGGCCUGCCUAGCUUGUCACAAAAACAUCGUCUCAGGUUUGCUGCUUGAUGCUGCUAAAUUCAUUAAUGAGCGAGAAUUUGAGAGAAGACAAGACAAGCACUUCCUCAAACAAGGUUUUGAGAUGGAAGCGAAGUGACUAUGUGAGCUUUUGUGGUUCAUCUAAAUUAACCUGUGAAGAAAUGAGACACGCUAGACACAUGGAGUAUUGGUGAGAUUAAAGGUGCUACACAUAAGAUGUUAUUUUUAUUUUCACAUUGGAAUUUUCAGAAAAUGUCUAUAAUAUAUCUGUAGUAAAAGUGGAACGAUAGUUUUUCACAGAAUUAACUACUAAGGGUGUGCCGAUCUCAUCAUACUCGUAUUCGUAAUCAUCCGUUUUCAAAUCAAAUCAAAAUGUAUUAGUCACAUGCGCCGAAUACAACAGCCACCUUACAGUGAAAUGCUUAUUUACAAGCCCUUAACCAACGAUGCAGUUAAAAAAAUACAUGAUUAAGAAUAAGAAAUAAAAGUAACAACUAAUUAAAGAGCAGCAGUAAAAUAACAGUAGGGAGGCUAUAUACAGGGGGGUACCGGUACAGAGUCAAUGUGCGGGGGAACCGGUUAGUCGAGUUAACUGGGGUAAUAUGUACAUGUAGGUAGCGUUAUUAAAGUGAUUAUGCA
Molecule: long non-coding RNA, 1508 nt
Organism: Oncorhynchus keta (chum salmon)
Lineage: Eukaryota; Metazoa; Chordata; Actinopteri; Salmoniformes; Salmonidae
Exons: 4
Source: RefSeq, a predicted model, not a curated record